UCAGCCCUUAGGGAUUCAGGGUGCGAUCAGGCUGAAGCUGUUAUUUUAAACAGGAGCCUAAAGUGGUAUCUUUGUGUGGUCUGUUGGCCAUUAGAAAUGAAAUGGUCAAUUCAUUAGAAAGAAAUAGCU
This is a small nucleolar RNA of Cavia porcellus (domestic guinea pig), 129 nucleotides long. The record is from Ensembl. NCBI's taxonomy places the organism in Eukaryota, Metazoa, Chordata, Mammalia, Rodentia, Caviidae.